UUAAGCGACUAAGCGUACACGGUGGAUGCCCUGGCAGUCAGAGGCGAUGAAGGACGUGCUAAUCUGCGAAAAGCGUCGGUAAGGUGAUAUGAACCGUUAUAACCGGCGAUGUCCGAAUGGGGAAACCCAGUGCAAUUCGUUGCACUAUCGUUAACUGAAUACAUAGGUUAACGAGGCGAACCGGGGGAACUGAAACAUCUAAGUACCCCGAGGAAAAGAAAUCAACCGAGAUUCCCCCAGUAGCGGCGAGCGAACGGGGAGCAGCCCAGAGUCUGAAUCAGCUUGUGUGUUAGUGGAACGGUCUGGAAAGUCCGACGGUACAGGGUGAUAGUCCCGUACACCAAAAUGCACAGGCUGUGAACUCGAAGAGUAGGGCGGGACACGUGGUAUCCUGUCUGAAUAUGGGGGGACCAUCCUCCAAGGCUAAAUACUCCUGACUGACCGAUAGUGAACCAGUACCGUGAGGGAAAGGCGAAAAGAACCCCGGCGAGGGGAGUGAAAAAGAACCUGAAACCGUGUACGUACAAGCAGUGGGAGCACCUUCGGGUGUGACUGCGUACCUUUUGUAUAAUGGGUCAGCGACUUAUAUUCUGUAGCAAGGUUAACCGUAUAGGGGAGCCGCAGGGAAACCGAGUCUUAACUGGGCGUUAAGUUGCAGGGUAUAGACCCGAAACCCGGUGAUUCAGCCAUGGGCAGGUUGAAGGUUGGGUAACACUAACUGGAGGACCGAACCGACUAAUGUUGAAAAAUUAGCGGAUGACUUGUGGCUGGGGUGAAAGGCCAAUCAAACCGGGAGAUAGCUGGUUCUCCCCGAAAGCUAUUUAGGUAGCGCCUCGUGAACUCAUCUUCGGGGUAGAGCACUGUUUCGGCUAGGGGUCAUCCCGACUUACCAACCCGAUGCAAACUACGAAUACCGAAGAAUGUUAUCACGGGAGACACACGGCGGGUGCUAACGUCCGUCGUGAAGAGGGAAACAACCCAGACCGCCAGCUAAGGUCCCAAAGUCAUGGUUAAGUGGGAAACGAUGUGGGAAGGCACAGACAGCCGUGAUGUUGGCUUAGAAGCAGCCAUCAUUUAAAGAAAGCGUAAUAGCUCACUGGUCGAGUCGGCCUGCGCGGAAGAUGUAACGGGCUAAACCAUGCACCGAAGCUGCGGCAGCGACACUAUGUGUUGUUGGGUAGGGGAGCGUUCUGUAAGCCUGCGAAGGUGUGCUGUGAGGCAUGCUGGAGGUAUCAGAAGUGCGAAUGCUGACAUAAGUAACGAUAAAGCGGGUGAAAAGCCCGCUCGCCGGAAGACCAAGGGUUCCUGUCCAACGUUAAUCGGGGCAGGGUGAGUCGACCCCUAAGGCGAGGCCGAAAGGCGUAGUCGAUGGGAAACAGGUUAAUAUUCCUGUACUUGGUGUUACUGCGAAGGGGGGACGGAGAAGGCUAUGUUAGCCGGGCGACGGUUGUCCCGGUUUAAGCAUGUAGGCUGGUUGUCCAGGCAAAUCCGGAUAAUCAAGGCUGAGGUGUGAUGACGAGGCACUACGGUGCUGAAGUAACAAAUGCCCUGCUUCCAGGAAAAGCCUCUAAGCAUCAGGUAACAUCAAAUCGUACCCCAAACCGACACAGGUGGUCAGGUAGAGAAUACCAAGGCGCUUGAGAGAACUCGGGUGAAGGAACUAGGCAAAAUGGUGCCGUAACUUCGGGAGAAGGCACGCUGGUGUGUAGGUGAAGCCCCUGCGGGUGGAGCUGAGACCAGUCGAAGAUACCAGCUGGCUGCAACUGUUUAUUAAAAACACAGCACUGUGCAAACACGAAAGUGGACGUAUACGGUGUGACGCCUGCCCGGUGCCGGAAGGUUAAUUGAUGGGGUUAUCCGUAAGGAGAAGCUCUUGAUCGAAGCCCCGGUAAACGGCGGCCGUAACUAUAACGGUCCUAAGGUAGCGAAAUUCCUUGUCGGGUAAGUUCCGACCUGCACGAAUGGCGUAAUGAUGGCCAGGCUGUCUCCACCCGAGACUCAGUGAAAUUGAACUCGCUGUGAAGAUGCAGUGUACCCGCGGCAAGACGGAAAGACCCCGUGAACCUUUACUAUAGCUUGACACUGAACAUUGAGCCUUGAUGUGUAGGAUAGGUGGGAGGCUUUGAAGCGUGGACGCCAGUCUGCGUGGAGCCAACCUUGAAAUACCACCCUUUAAUGUUUGAUGUUCUAACGUUGGCCCCUUACCGGGGUUGCGGACAGUGUCUGGUGGGUAGUUUGACUGGGGCGGUCUCCUCCCAAAGCGUAACGGAGGAGCACGAAGGUUAGCUAAUCCUGGUCGGACAUCAGGAGGUUAGUGCAAUGGCAUAAGCUAGCUUGACUGCGAGCGUGACGGCGCGAGCAGGUGCGAAAGCAGGUCAUAGUGAUCCGGUGGUUCUGAAUGGAAGGGCCAUCGCUCAACGGAUAAAAGGUACUCCGGGGAUAACAGGCUGAUACCGCCCAAGAGUUCAUAUCGACGGCGGUGUUUGGCACCUCGAUGUCGGCUCAUCACAUCCUGGGGCUGAAGUAGGUCCCAAGGGUAUGGCUGUUCGCCAUUUAAAGUGGUACGCGAGCUGGGUUUAGAACGUCGUGAGACAGUUCGGUCCCUAUCUGCCGUGGGCGCUGGAGAAUUGAGGGGGGCUGCUCCUAGUACGAGAGGACCGGAGUGGACGCAUCACUGGUGUUCGGGUUGUCAUGCCAAUGGCACUGCCCGGUAGCUAAAUGCGGAAGAGAUAAGUGCUGAAAGCAUCUAAGCACGAAACUUGCCCCGAGAUGAGUUCUCCCUGAGACUUUAAGUCUCCUGAAGGAACGUUGAAGACGACGACGUUGAUAGGCCGGGUGUGUAAGCGCAGCGAUGCGUUGAGCUAACCGGUACUAAUGAACCGUGAGGCUUAACCU
This 2895-nucleotide ribosomal RNA is filed under the name Klebsiella pneumoniae. Its description in RNAcentral is "23S ribosomal RNA". It matches the Rfam family "Bacterial large subunit ribosomal RNA". Lineage: Bacteria; Pseudomonadati; Pseudomonadota; Gammaproteobacteria; Enterobacterales; Enterobacteriaceae. The record is from RNAcentral.